UGGGGAAUAUUGGACAAUGGGCGAAAGCCUGAUCCAGCCAUGCCGCGUGUGUGAAGAAGGCCUUUUGGUUGUAAAGCACUUUAAGUGGGGAGGAAAAGCUUAUGGUUAAUACCCAUAAGCCCUGACGUUACCCACAGAAUAAGCACCGGCUAACUCUGUGCCAGCAGCCGCGGUAAUACAGAGGGUGCAAGCGUUAAUCGGAAUUACUGGGCGUAAAGCGCGCGUAGGUGGUUAUUUAAGUCAGAUGUGAAAGCCCCGGGCUUAACCUGGGAACUGCAUCUGAUACUGGAUAACUAGAGUAGGUGAGAGGGGAGUAGAAUUCCAGGUGUAGCGGUGAAAUGCGUAGAGAUGUGGAGGAAUACCGAUGGCGAAGGCAGCUCCCUGGCAUCAUACUGACACUGAGGUGCGAAAGCGUGGGUAGCAAACAGGAUUAGAUACCCUGGUAGUCCACGCCGUAAACGAUGUCUACCAGUCGUUGGGUCUUUUAAAGACUUAGUGACGCAGUUAACGCAAUAAGUAGACCGCCUGGGGAGUACGGCCGCAAGGUUA
Molecule: ribosomal RNA, 549 nt
Filed under: uncultured bacterium
Lineage: Bacteria
Description: bacterial SSU rRNA
Rfam family: Bacterial small subunit ribosomal RNA
Source: RNAcentral